UGGGGAAUAUUGCACAAUGGGCGCAAGCCUGAUGCAGCGACGCCGCGUGAGGGAUGACGGCCUUCGGGUUGUAAACCUCUUUCAGCAUCGAAGAAGCGAAAGUGACGGUAGGUGCAGAAGAAGCGCCGGCUAACUACGUGCCAGCAGCCGCGGUAAUACGUAGGGCGCGAGCGUUGUCCGGAAUUAUUGGGCGUAAAGAGCUUGUAGGCGGUUUGUCGCGUCUGCUGUGAAAGCCCGGGGCUUAACCCCGGGUUUGCAGUGGGUACGGGCUAACUAGAGUGCAGUAGGGGAGACUGGAAUUCCUGGUGUAGCGGUGGAAUGCGCAGAUAUCAGGAGGAACACCGAUGGCGAAGGCAGGUCUCUGGGCUGUAACUGACGCUGAGAAGCGAAAGCAUGGGGAGCAAACAGG
RNAcentral lists this ribosomal RNA (409 nucleotides) under uncultured bacterium. Its description in RNAcentral is "bacterial SSU rRNA". It matches the Rfam family "Bacterial small subunit ribosomal RNA", at positions 355 to 776 of the family's 1533-position model. The record is from RNAcentral. RNAcentral also lists the same sequence under 1 other name.